UACAGAGGGUGCGAGCGUUGUUCGGAAUUAUUGGGCGUAAAGGGCGCGUAGGCGGUGCGGUAAGUCACCUGUGAAAUCUCCUGGCUCAACUGGGAGCGUGCAGGCGAAACUGCCGUGCUGGAGUGUGGGAGAGGUGCGUGGAAUUCCCGGUGUAGCGGUGAAAUGCGUUGAUAUCGGAAGGAACGCCGGUGGCGAAAGCGACGGACUGGAUCUCUUCUGACGCUGAGGCGCGAAAGCCAGGGGAGCAAACGGG
RNAcentral lists this ribosomal RNA (253 nucleotides) under uncultured bacterium. RNAcentral's name for it is "partial 16S ribosomal RNA". It matches the Rfam family "Bacterial small subunit ribosomal RNA", at positions 524 to 776 of the family's 1533-position model. The record is from RNAcentral.